Molecule: ribosomal RNA, 595 nt
Filed under: uncultured bacterium
Lineage: Bacteria
Description: bacterial SSU rRNA
Rfam family: Bacterial small subunit ribosomal RNA
Source: RNAcentral
CGAUUGGAAGGUUGUGUUCCCUUGAAGAAGUGGUCUUCCGGAGCUAAUCGACGGUUGAAGUCGACCGGCCUGGGUGAGUAACGGCCGCAAGGUUAAAAACUCAAAUGAAUUGACGGGGCCCGCACAAAGCGGUGGAGCAUGUGGUUUAAUUCCGAAGCAACGCGAAGAACCUUACCUACUCUUGACAUCCAGAGAACUUUCCAGAGAUGGAUUGGUGCCUUCGGGAACUCUGAGACAGGUGCUGCAUGGCUGUCGUCAGCUCGUGUUGUGAAAUGUUGGGUUAAGUCCCGCAACGAGCGCAACCCUUAUCCUUUGUUGCCAGCGAUUCGGUCGGGAACUCAAAGGAGACUGCCGGUGAUAAACCGGAGGAAGGUGGGGAUGACGUCAAGUCAUCAUGGCCCUUACGAGUAGGGCUACACACGUGCUACAAUGGCGCAUACAAAGAGAAGCGACCUCGCGAGAGCAAGCGGACCUCACAAAGUGCGUCGUAGUCCGGAUCGGAGUCUGCAACUCGACUCCGUGAAGUCGGAAUCGCUAGUAAUCGUGGAUCAGAAUGCCACGGUGAAUACGUUCCCGGGCCUUGUACACACCGCCC